Molecule: long non-coding RNA, 2401 nt
Organism: Penaeus monodon (black tiger shrimp)
Lineage: Eukaryota; Metazoa; Arthropoda; Malacostraca; Decapoda; Penaeidae
Exons: 6
Source: RefSeq, a predicted model, not a curated record
AGCCAGGCAGGCAGGCAGUCAGUGUGAAGCGAGCCCUGGUGAGGUGUGGAACCCACGGUCGGUGCUGAUCAUUAGCGUCUCCAUCCUGCGAGGAUUCCCAUAUCCACUGAGGAUUUCCGUUCCCCUUCGUCCCAUAGCGGGAUCUUGCCAAAGCAGGCUCAGGAAGAGUCUGACCUGCAGUGUGUGUGGAUUUCGUCGGAUUCUCGCGAAGAUAUUCAGCGGCGCGGGAGUGAGGGUGUGUCAGUGUUCGCCCCCGAGUGUAGGGAAACCUAUCGGGAGGCCCCAGUGUUUUAGUGAGGAUUACUGUUCACGAGCAAGGAUUCCGUUAUUCGCAGAGGAUUACAACCUGUACGCCAAGGAUCUCCCGCCAUUCAGCGAGGAUUUGAGUGUCCACAAAGGGUCACUGUAAUUGCCCGGGAGAAUUCCGAACGCCAUUGAGGGAUUCCAGGAUCCAUCGACGCUCGAGCAGGGCCAGGCGACAACGACGGCGGUGGUGGUGGCCACGAUUCUGCGAAACCGGUGAGUGGAUAGAGUUACAGAGUCCGAGGUCUGAGAGAGAGAAAAAAGACGAAAGAAAAGAAAAGAGAAGAGAGAAAGAAAGAGAGAGCGAGUACGAAAGAAAAGAAAAGAGAAGAGGGAAACAAAGAGAGAGCGAGUGCUUUGUGAGUAUUUUACGGUUCCACAAGGUAAAGACAAACAGCUGACUGCGUUGGAGUAUCUGUGGUUAAGUGCUUGCUUGCUUGCGUUCUUCUAGUUUACAUUGAGAGGGUAAGUUAGCCUUGUGUUGUUGGACGUGUGUGUGUGUGUGUGUGUGUGUGUGUGUGUGUGUGUGUGUGUGUGUGUGUCUGUGUGUGUGUGUCUGUAUCUGUGUCUGUGCGUGCGUGUGUACGUACGUGCAUGAGUAGGUAUGUGUUUGUCACUGGUUCAUGAAUUUAAUAUUUCUUUAUUCACCUACUAACCCACUUUCACGCCUCAUCCAACCAAGUAUCCGCUCAUGCAUCUGUUUUAUCAGAUGCAUACGGAUAUCACGUGAAAGAUAGUCUGCGUGCCAGUUGUCCGUUGCUGAUGGUGUCAUUAUCGUUAUUACUCCGGCGAAAACGAAUUGCAGUAGUGAUUAGCAAAUUUAGAGGAUUGGUGCAUGAGGAAUUGUAUUGAGCGUUGGCGACGGAAAUGAAGAUGAGUAUAGUUGUGAUACUGAUGGUGAUGGUGAUAAUGGGGAUGAAAAGGAUGACGGUAAUGGUGGUAAUAAUGGUGAUGAUGAUGAUGAUGGUGAUGAUAGUGAUAAUGUGAUUAGUGAUGUUGAUGGUGAUAACAUACAAUGGUGAAGAGUGGUAAAGAUAAAAGUGUAUAUUAAGGGAAAAAUGCUAGGUAAAAAAGGAAAAUACUGCAACUAAAAAAAAAGUAAUUAGAAAACAACAAAUAUUAAGAAGGAAAAUUAAAGAAGGGUGAAACGAAAAAAAAUGAUCCAGAAGGAAAUGAAUUAAUAACCGAAAAAGAAAAAAGAGAAAGAAGCAAAAAUAAACAAAAGCAGGAGAAGAAAAAAACAAUAAGAAACAGAUAAGGAAAGACAAGAAAAAUCAAAAGGGAAACAAGUAGAAGAAUAAAACAAAUAUAAAACGGAAGGAGAAGAAGAAGAAGAAGAAGAAGAAGAAGAAGAAGAAGAGAUCAGGAGAGGACGACGAAGAAAGAGAAUAAGACCAAGAAGCAAACUGCAACUGCUUCUUAAAGCGAAUGAUUCCCAAGUAAAUUGCAGCGCAAACACGAGUUCCCUCCGCGGCCUCCUCAUCUCUCCUCGAAGCCAACCUCGCGUCCGUGAGGCUCGCAUGAAGAUUCCGUCGCGUGGGGUUUAUUUCGGGAUUAUUUCGGCUUUAUUGUCUUCUGUUUUGCUUUCAAGUCGCUUUUUCUUAUUUAUUUUUUUUAGGGGGAGGGGAGCUUUUCUCGUUCUUUUGUUUUAUUUAUUUAUUUUCUUUUUUUCUUUUCUUUUCUUUUUGUAUUUUCUUUUCUUUCGUUAUGGGACGAAGAUGAGGGUUUUGUUUCUGGGAACCGAUUUUUUUUUUUCGUCACGUCCGUUUGCUUUAAUCUUGUUUAUUUAUUUAUUUUUUGUUUUCAUAUUAGUGUGUGUUUUCGUGAAUCGUUUCCUCCUUUCUAAAAGUUUGUGUCCCUUGGAUCCGUGUAUUACUUCUGGAAUCACUUCCCCCUCCGCCAUAGCAGCUAAUUCCCUCGAACUGCCUCGCUAACGCGCCUCCUUUAAUGUGAAUUUCCACAAUCGACGGAGCCAAGUCAUUAGCGAGGCUGAGACGCGCGCAAAAGUUUCUAAUUAACAUCGUAUCGUUGUUCUUGCGUCACCAGCUGGGGACACUGCAUUAUCACGUCUCCCUUCCCCCCCUUUCCCCUUCUAUUG